CAGCAGCCACGGGAAUACGGAGGAUCCAAGCGUUAUCCGGAAUCAUUGGGUUUAAAGGGUCCGUAGGCGGUCUUGUAAGUCAGUGGUGAAAGCCCAUCGCUCAACGGUGGAACGGCCAUUGAUACUGCAGGACUUGAAUUAUUGGGAAGUAACUAGAAUAUGUAGUGUAGCGGUGAAAUGCUUAGAGAUUACAUGGAAUACCAAUUGCGAAGGCAGGUUACUACCAAUUGAUUGACGCUGAUGGACGAAAGCGUGGGUAGCGAACAGGAUUAGAUACCCGUGUAGUCCCUGUCUCUUAUAC
This 301-nucleotide ribosomal RNA is filed under the name uncultured bacterium. Its description in RNAcentral is "partial 16S ribosomal RNA". It matches the Rfam family "Bacterial small subunit ribosomal RNA", at positions 509 to 807 of the family's 1533-position model. The record is from RNAcentral.